GAUGAAGAACGCAGCGAAAUGCGAUAAGUAGUGUGAAUUGCAGAAUUCAGUGAAUCAUCGAAUCUUUGAACGCACAUUGCGCCCCUUGGUAUCCCGAGGGGCAUGCCUGUUCGAGCGUCAUUUCACCACUCAAGCCUGGCUUGGUGUUGGGCGACGUCCUCUUUGGGGACGCGCCUCGAAACGCUCGGCGGCGUGGCACCGGCUUUAAGCGUAGCAGAAUCUUUCGCUUUGGAAGUCGGGGCCCCGUCUGCCGGAAGACCUGCUCGCAAGGUUGACCUCGGAUCAGGCAGGGAUACCCGCUGAACUUAAGCAUAUCAAUAAGGAGGA
Molecule: unclassified non-coding RNA, 327 nt
Filed under: soil metagenome
Description: partial contains 5.8S ribosomal RNA, internal transcribed spacer 2, and large subunit ribosomal RNA
Rfam family: 5.8S ribosomal RNA (bases 1-120)
Source: RNAcentral